GUGUUGGUAUAGUAGUAGAGUUAACAGUAGACAGUAGUAGGUUGAUAGUGGUGGUAUAGUAGUAGAGUUAACAGUAGACAGUAGUAGGUUGAUAGUGGUGGUAUAGUAGUAGAGUUAACAGUAGUAGGUUGAUAGUGGUGGUAUAGUAGUAGAGUUAACAGUAGACAGUAGUAGGUUGAUAGUGGUGGUAUAGUAGUAGAGUUAACAGUAGUAGGUUGAUAGUGGUGGUAUAGUAGUAGAGUUAACAGUAGACAGUAGUAGGUUGAUAGUGGUGGUAUAGUAGUAGAGUUAACAGUAGUAGGUUGAUAGUGGUGGUAUAGUAGUAGAGUUAACAGUAGACAGUAGUAGGUUGAUAGUGGUGGUAUAGUAGUAGAGUUAACAGUAGACAGUAGUAUGUUGAUAGUGUUGGUAUAGUAGUAGAGUUAACAGUAGUAGGUUGAUAGUGGUGGUAUAGUAGUAGAGUUAACAGUAGUAGGUUGAUAGUGGUGGUAUAGUAGUAGAGUUAACAGUAGACAGUAGUAGGUUGAUAGUGUUGGUAUAGUAGUAGAGUUAACAGUAGUAGGUUGAUAGUGGUGGUAUAGUAGUAGAGUUAACAGUAGACAGUAGUAUGUUGAUAGUGUUGGUAUAGUAGUAGAGUUAACAGUAGUAGGUUGAUAGUGGUGGUAUAGUAGUAGAGUUAACAGUAGUAGGUUGAUAGUGGUGGUAUAGUAGUAGAGUUAACAGUAGACAGUAGUAGGUUGAUAGUGUUGGUAUAGUAGUAGAGUUAACAGUAGUAGGUUGAUAGUGUUGGUAUAGUAGUAGAGUUAACAGUAGUAGGUUGAUAGUGUUGGUAUAGUAGUAGAGUUAACAGUAGACAGUAGUAGGUUGAUAGUGGUGGUAUAGUAGUAGAGUUAACAGUAGACAGUAGUAGGUUGAUAGUGGUGGUAUAGUAGUAGAGUUAACAGUAGACAGUAGUAGGUUGAUAGUGGUGGUAUAGUAGUAGAGUUAACAGUAGUAGGUUGAUAGUGUUGGUAUAGUAGUAGAGUUAACAGUAGACAGUAGUAGGUUGAUAGUGGUGGUAUAGUAGUAGAGUUAACAGUAGUAGGUUGAUAGUGGUGGUAUAGUAGUAGAGUUAACAGUAGACAGUAGUAGGUUGAUAGUGGUGGUAUAGUAGUAGAGUUAACAGUAGACAGUAGUAGGUUGAUAGUGGUGGUAUAGUAGUAGAGUUAACAGUAGACAGUAGUAGGUUGAUAGUGGUGGUAUAGUAGUAGAGUUAACAGUAGACAGUAGUAGGUUGAUAGUGGUGGUAUAGUAGUAGAGUUAACAGUAGACAGUAGUAGGUUGAUAGUGGUGGUAUAGUAGUAGAGUUAACAGUAGACAAUAGUAGAGUUAACAGUAGACAGUAGUAUGUUGAUAGUGGUGGUAUAGUAGUAGAGUU
Oncorhynchus keta (chum salmon) is the source of this 1417-nucleotide long non-coding RNA. RefSeq lists it as uncharacterized. The record is from RefSeq and is a predicted model, not a curated record. The transcript has 7 exons. NCBI's taxonomy places the organism in Eukaryota, Metazoa, Chordata, Actinopteri, Salmoniformes, Salmonidae.